CCCUUAGAUGUUCUGGGCCGCACGCGCGCUACACUGAUGCGUUCAACAAGUUUCCUUGGCCGAGAGGCCUGGGCAAUCUUCUUAAUAUGUAUCGUGAUAGGGAUAGAUUAUUGCAAUUAUUAAUCUUGAACGAGGAAUUCCUAGUAAACGCAGAUCAUCAAUCUGCAUUGAUUACGUCCCUGCCCUUUGUACACACCGCCCGUCGCUACUACCGAUUGGACGGUUUAGCGAGGCCUUCGGAUUAGCGCGCGCCGCGCCGCCCGCCCUUCGGGGUUGGGUGGCUGGUGAUAGCGUUGAGAAGACGGUCGAACUUGACCGUCUAGAGGAAGUAAAAGUCGUAACA
RNAcentral lists this ribosomal RNA (343 nucleotides) under uncultured eukaryote. Its description in RNAcentral is "partial 18S ribosomal RNA". It matches the Rfam family "Eukaryotic small subunit ribosomal RNA", at positions 1470 to 1796 of the family's 1831-position model. The record is from RNAcentral.